Molecule: ribosomal RNA, 514 nt
Filed under: uncultured bacterium
Lineage: Bacteria
Description: bacterial SSU rRNA
Rfam family: Bacterial small subunit ribosomal RNA
Source: RNAcentral
AUUGAACGCUGGCGGCAUGCCUUACACAUGCAAGUCGAACGGUAACGGGCCUUCGGGUGCCGACGAGUGGCGAACGGGUGAGUAAUGUAUCGGAACGUACCUUUCAGUGGGGGAUAACGUAGCGAAAGUUACGCUAAUACCGCAUAUUCUGUGCGCAGGAAAGCAGGGGGAUCGCAAGACCUUGCGCUGAUUGAGCGGCCGAUAUCAGAUUAGCUAGUUGGUGAGGUAAAGGCUCACCAAGGCGACGAUCUGUAGCGGGUCUGAGAGGAUGAUCCGCCACACUGGAACUGAGACACGGUCCAGACUCCUACGGGAGGCAGCAGUGGGGAAUUUUGGACAAUGGGGGCAACCCUGAUCCAGCCAUGCCGCGUGAGUGAAGAAAGGCCUUCGGUUGUAAAGCGUCUUCGUCCGGGAGAAAUACGUAUGGUUAAGUAACCUCGUGUCGGACGUGACGGUACCGGCAGUAAGAAGACGACCGGCCUAACUAACGUGCCAGCACGCCGCGGUAAAACGG